Molecule: ribosomal RNA, 2086 nt
Filed under: human gut metagenome
Description: bacterial LSU rRNA
Rfam family: Bacterial large subunit ribosomal RNA
Source: RNAcentral
AGGUGUGGAUAGGGGAGAAAUUCCAAUCGAACCCGGAGAUAGCUGGUUCUCCUCGAAAUAGCUUUAGGGCUAGCCUCGAUACAGAUUUGCGGAGGUAGAGCACUGAAUUUCCUAGGGGGCGUCAAAGCCUACCGAAGAAUAUCAAACUCCGAAUGCCGCGUAAUCGAUUAUCGGGAGUCAGACUGCACGAGAUAAGUUGGGCGGUCAAAAGGGAAAGAGCCCAGACCUUCAGUUAAGGUCCCCAAGUGCGCGUUAAGUGGAAAAGGAUGUGGGAUUUCGAAGACAACCAGGAUGUUGGCUCAGAAGCAGCCAUCCAUUCAAAGAGUGCGUAAUAGCUCACUGGUCGAGAGGUCCUGCGCCGAAAAUGUCCGGGGCUGAAACGCGCCACCGAAACUAAGGAACCGAAAGGUUGGUAGAGGAGCAUUGCAUGCGGGAAGAAGCAGUACCGUAAGGAGCUGUGGACUGCAUGGAAGAGAGAAUGCCGGAAUGAGUAGCGAGAAUAAGGUGAGAAUCCUUAUGGCCGAAUAUCCAAGGUUUCCAGAGUAAAGCUGAUCUGCUCUGGGUAAGUCGGGGCCUAAGGCGAGGACGAGAGUCGUAGCCGAUGGACAACAGGUGGAGAUUCCUGUACUGCGGUAUGACAGAACUGUGGGGACACGUAAGGAAAGCGGAAGCCGGGAAUGGAAAGCCCGGUGCAAGCGGGGUACCAGUCACUUUGGCAAAUCCGGGUGGCAAUGGGAAGCCGUGAUGCGGAGCGAAAUAAAGUAGCGAAGUCCGUGAGCCAUGCGUCAAGAAAAGCCGCUAUCGUUUAUACCGUACCCGUACCGUAAACCGACACAGGUGGAUGAGGAGAGAAUCCUAAGGCCGGCGGAAGAAGCAUUGUCAAGGAACUCGGCAAAAUGACCCCGUAACUUCGGGAGAAGGGGUGCCUGCGAGAGCAGGCCGCAGAGAAUAGGCUCAAGCAACUGUUUAGCAAAAACACAGGUCUAUGCGAAACCGAAAGGUGAGGUAUAUGGGCUGACGCCUGCCCGGUGCUGGAAGGUUAAGAGGAGAGGUUAGCGCAAGCGAAGCUUUGAAUUUAAGCCCCAGUAAACGGCGGCCGUAACUAUAACGGUCCUAAGGUAGCGAAAUUCCUUGUCGGGUAAGUUCCGACCCGCACGAAAGGCGUAAUGAUUUGAGCGCUGUCUCGACAAUGCAUCCGGUGAAAUUGAAGUACCAGUGAAGAUGCUGGUUACCUGCGCCAGGACGGAAAGACCCCAUGGAGCUUUACUCCAGUCUGGUACUGGGACUCGGUAUUGCAUGUACAGGAUAGGUGGGAGGCUAGGAGAUGGUAACGCCAGUUGCCAUGGAGCCGCUGUUGGGAUACCACCCUUGCAGUAUUGGGUUUCUAACCAGCCGCCGUGACCCGGCGGUGGGACAAUGCCAGACGGGGAGUUUGACUGGGGCGGUCGCCUCCGAAAGGGUAUCGGAGGCGCCCAAAGGUUCCCUCAGAAUGGACGGAAACCAUUCGAAGAGUGCAAAGGCAGAAGGGAGCUUGACUGCGACACCGACGGGUGGAGCAGGUACGAAAGUAGGACUUAGUGAUCCGGUGGUAUAAAGUGGGAUUGCCAUCGCUCAACGGAUAAAAGCUACCCUGGGGAUAACAGGCUUAUCACUCCCAAGAGUUCACAUCGACGGAGUGGUUUGGCACCUCGAUGUCGGCUCAUCGCAUCCUGGGGCUGUAGUAGGUCCCAAGGGUUGGGCUGUUCGCCCAUUAAAGCGGUACGCGAGCUGGGUUCAGAACGUCGUGAGACAGUUCGGUCCCUAUCCGGCGUGGGCGUAGGAUAUCUGAGAGGAGCUGUCCUUAGUACGAGAGGACCGGGAUGGACGGGCCGCUGGUGCAUCGGUUAGACUGCCAAGUCUACGGCCGAGUAGCCAAGCCCGGAAGGGAUAAACGCUGAAGGCAUCUAAGCGUGAAGCCCCCCUUAAGAUGAGAUAUCCCAUUCGAAAGAAGUAAACCCCCUUGAAGACGACGAGGUAGAUAGGGCAGAGGUGGAAGUGUGGCAACACAUGGAGCUGACUGUUACUAAUCGGGUGAGGGCUUGACCAA